RNAcentral lists this ribosomal RNA (454 nucleotides) under uncultured bacterium. Its description in RNAcentral is "bacterial SSU rRNA". It matches the Rfam family "Bacterial small subunit ribosomal RNA", at positions 335 to 783 of the family's 1533-position model. The record is from RNAcentral.
ACUCCUACGGGAGGCAGCAGUGGGGAAUAUUGCACAAUGGGCGCAAGCCUGAUGCAGCCAUGCCGCGUGUGUGAAGAAGGCCUUCGGUUGUAAAGCACUUUCAGUCGUGAGGAAGGUAGUGUAGUUAAUAGCUGCAUUAUUUGACGUUAGCGACAGAAGAAGCACCGGCUAACUCCGUGCCAGCAGCCGCGGUAAUACGGAGGGUGCGAGCGUUAAUCGGAAUUACUGGGCGUAAAGCGCAUGCAGGUGGUUUGUUAAGUCAGAUGUGAAAGCCCGGGGCUCAACCUCGGAAUUGCAUUUGAAACUGGCAGACUAGAGUACUGUAGAGGGGGUAGAAUUUCAGGUGUAGCGGUGAAAUGCGUAGAGAUCUGAAGGAAUACCGGUGGCGAAGGCGGCCCCCUGGACAGAUACUGACACUCAGAUGCGAAAGCGUGGGGAGCAAACAGGAUUAGAU